This 1682-nucleotide ribosomal RNA is filed under the name uncultured eukaryote. Its description in RNAcentral is "SSU rRNA". It matches the Rfam family "Eukaryotic small subunit ribosomal RNA". The record is from RNAcentral.
AUUAAGCCAUGCAUGUCUAAGCAUAGCUGGCAACAGUGAAGCCGCGAAUAGCUCAUUACAACAGCCGUUGUUUCUUGGAUCUACUCUCUACUUGGAUAACUGUGGUAAUUCUAGAGCUAAUACAUGCAUCAAGACCCGACGCAAGGACGGUCGCAUUUAUUACAACAAAACCAUCCGGUCCUCGGACCGUUCCUUGGUGACUCUGAAUAACUGAGCAAAUCGCACGGUCUCGCACCGGCGAUGUAUCUUUCAAGUGUCUGCCUUAUCAACUUUCGAUGGUAGUUUAUGUGCCUACCAUGGUUGUAACGGGUAACGGAGAAUCAGGGUUUGACUCCGGAGAGGGAGCCUGAGAAACGGCUACCACUUCUAAGGAAGGCAGCAGGCGCGCAAAUUACCCAUUCUCGGUACGAGGAGGUAGUGACGACCAAUACCAAGCCGGGGCUCUUAUGAGUUUCGGCAUUGGAAUGAGAACAAUCCAAAUCUUUUAACGAGGAACUAGUGGAGGGCAAGUCUGGUGCCAGCAGCCGCGGUAAUUCCAGCUCCGCAAAAGUAUAUCGAUAUUGCUGUGGUUAAAAAGCUCGUAGUUGGAUCUGCGUGUCCAGCACCCGGUGCGGUCUUUGACCGUUACUGGCAUGCGACACAUGACUGUCGGGUGGCGGCGGAUGCUCUUCAUCGGGUGUCCGUCGUGUCCGGCGAGUUUACUUUGAACAAACUAGAGUGCUCAACACAGGCGUUUCGCUUGAAUAUUUCUGCAUGGAAUAAUGGAAUAGGACCUCGGUUCUAUUUUGUUGGUUUUCGGAAGUGAGGUAAUGAUUAAGAGGGACUGACGGGGGCAUUCGUACUGCGACGUGAGAGGUGAAAUUCUUGGAUCGUCGCAAGACGCACUACUGCGAAGGCAUUUGCCAAGAAUGUUUUCAUUAAUCAAGAACGUAAGUAACGGGUUCGAAGGCGAUCAGAUACCGCCCUAGUCGUUACCGUAAACUAUAGCGACAGGGAGGUUGCACGUGUUUUCGAUGACCGUGUAACAACCCAACCUGAAAAGAAGUCUUUGGCUUCCAGGGGGAAUAUGCGUCGCAAGUCUGAAACUUAAAGGAAUUGACGGAAGGGCACCACCAGGGGUGGAGCCUGCGGCUUAAUUUGACUCAACACGGGGAAACUCACCAGGUCCAGACAUAGUAAGGAUUGACAGAUUGAUAGCUCUUUCUUGAUUCUAUGGGUGGUGGUGCAUGGCCGUUCUUAGUUGGUGGAGUGAUUUGUCUGGUUAAUUCCGAUAACGAACGAGACCUUAACCUGCUAAAUAGUUACAUUAACAUUUGUUGAUGCGAACUUCUUAGAGGGACUGACUACGUUUAGUGGUCGGAAGUUUGAGGCAAUAACAGGUCUGUGAUGCCCUUAGAUGUUCUGGGCCGCACGCGCGCUACACUGAUAAAGGCAGCGAGUAUACAACCUUGACCGAAAGGUCUGGGUAAUCUUCUGAAUCUUUAUCGUGAUGGGGAUAGACCAUUGCAAUUAUUGGUCUUGAACGAGGAAUUCCUAGUAAGCGCAAGUCAUCAGCUUGCGUUGAUUACGUCCCUGCCCUUUGUACACACCGCCCGUCGGUACUACCGAUUGAAUGGCUUAGUGAGGCCUUCGGAUUGUUCUUAAGAGCUUGCAAAAGCUUUCAGGAGUGAGAAGUUGGACAA